UGUGAUGGAUGCAUGGAAAGGAAAGAAUCCAUACAUUCUUCUUUCCAAAGUUGGGCCCUACAAACUGUUUUAUGCAGAUAUAGCAAGAACAGCCCCAAAUAUGCAGUUGGAGAGUGAGGUACAGGGUGUUUACAUAGGGGAUUUAUGCAGUUAUAUAUGCAGAAAACAGAUCCUAUUUGAUAUUGUAUGUCAUUUCAUCUCAGGUUAUUAAUGCCUACUUGGAGCUCCUGGUCAAAGAGCACAAUGGGCGAACAAGGGAAAAGGCAAUUGCUGUCGACAUGUUUGCCAUGACUGAUGUUUGGAAUAAUAAAAGCAAACUGCGUGAAGUAUGUGGAGAUUUUACAGUACAUAUAGACUCAAGUAUUUAUUUAUGCAUCUUUGAGUUAGUCCUUCCGAGCGAUGUAUAAAUAUACCUUUUCUACCCAUGUUUUUCUAAUUUUAGCUUGAUCCUGAUGUUCAAAUUAAUCAUUGGCAUUGUCAACAAGAACAACCACUGGAUGUUGAUGGUUAUGCUUCCAUCAGAGAAGAGGUCAUUGUUCCUUGAUCCUCUUGGGGAAAAGGCAAAGGACAUAAAACACUGUCAAGGUGUGACAAGGUAACUUGUAUAACACACACACAAACACCCUGUAAAACCAUGCUGUAAUUUAUCCUUUACAUAUAUCUAGGUACUUUAUUUCUGUUUUAUUAAGAGCAUUCACGAGACAAAGGGGACUCAAUAUCUCAAAAUGGUCAUGCACCUCUCUCCCUCACCCUCUGCAAAAAGAUGUGACAUCUUGUGGAGUAUUUGCAUUAAAGUUUGCAGAAUGCAUUUUAAAAGGGCAGAGCAUCUCCUUUGGAUCAUCAAAAAAACACAUUGAGGGACUAAGAAAGGUCAUAGCAACCACUCUACUGGAAAACAGCGGUAUGUUGGUGACAUGCUGGAGUAUUGCAUGGAUAGCUUAUUUUAGUUAAAUUGAUUAUUGAAGUCUUAUAACAAUAACAGAAACCUGAGCUGUUAUGGUUCUUUGAUUUUGUCAGAUGACCUCAGUGAAGUCUGCCACAUCUGUGGUAACGUGGAGGAUGGCCAGGAUGAGACAGUUUCCUGGAUAUCCUGUGACUCAUGUCAUCGGUGGUACCACCAGCGAUGUGCCAAAUGUAUCACUACUGACAGUGACUACAUGUGUGAGGCUUGUAGUGAUUUGGCUGUAGUUUGAAGUUGUGUGUGUGUGUGUGUUUGUAUGUGAUUGUGUGUGUGUGUGUGUGUGUCAGAACAAGUUCAGCUACAUCGUUGUCUACAUGUUGUGGUCAUUGGAUCGAUGAUGAUCCUUCAUCAGCUGCAUCGAAUGAACUCCAGCAUUUGAUGACACAGUUCAUCAUGGUUCAUCUGCCUCUUCUGUUUGUGUGUUUCUUUACAUGUG
Molecule: long non-coding RNA, 1397 nt
Organism: Sander lucioperca (pikeperch)
Lineage: Eukaryota; Metazoa; Chordata; Actinopteri; Perciformes; Percidae
Exons: 4
Source: RefSeq, a predicted model, not a curated record